Molecule: non-coding RNA, 1212 nt
Organism: Oryzias latipes (Japanese medaka)
Lineage: Eukaryota; Metazoa; Chordata; Actinopteri; Beloniformes; Adrianichthyidae
Source: RefSeq, a predicted model, not a curated record
CUCCAGCCCACUGAGUGCCCACUUUAGGCAGUGUGGGCAAACACAGGUGGGGCCACCACGGAAACUGGAAACCCAUAUGGGGCCCACAUUCUUUGUGUACCUUUGGGCCAGCAGAGUUCACAUUUUCUCAUGGACUUCAAACUGUUAGAGACAGCAACUUUUCUGAUGGAUGAGUCUAAAACAUGUCUGCCCUAUUUUCCAUCUUUCGUUUGGACAAACGUCUGAUUACCACAGCGGUACACGCCUCCCAAGUGACCUCUGUUAUGGAGGUGGUCUCGUUCAAUCCCGUGUCUCCAUUCAGCCUCCCCUGGUCCCUCCUAAACCCCUGGAAGCAGCAGUGAGCUGCUGUUUGGUUUUAGGAGGCAGGGCUCUGCUGAAUACGGUCGAGGCUGCGAGGACGACAGUUUCAUCAUUCUGCAUUGUUGUGGUCUGAUCAGGAAACCAGAUCCUCCAUGGAAGCUCGACCCUGAUCAGAUCAGACCAGACCAGACCGGCGCAGAGUUCCUCUGAGACCAGCAGCCUCCCUCUGACAGCAGAACGGCCCGUUUCCAGUUUCCACAGGAAGCCAGUGGAGGUCGACGUCCGUGUUCAAGAAGGAGGGACCGCAUCAACGUCCAAAACACACUUUUAACAACAAUGUGCCCAACGGAAAGUCACACUCUGUUUUGUCUAUUUACAACACUUCCUCCAAACAUCUCCUGUGGAAACCUGGAUGGAUAAUCUACUGUCCCAUCAGCUGGAACCUGCUGCCCUCUGGAGGCUCCCGGGUCCAACCAAACGCUCAGCAGAGCAGAAACCACAGGACGUCACAGCAGCAUGAAGUCCAGGAGGAUCCAUUGUACUCAUGGAGGGAACUUCUUGUUCCAAUAGUUAUCUGAAUUUAGUUUGAAAGUUAUUCCAACAUGUUUAAUUGAAAAUAAUCUUGUAAAUUGCUCUGAAAAGGUUUUUGAAAUCCCCUCGUCAAGGAUGAAAGCCUGACUUUCAAUUGUAUUUUAAGUUGGUGCUGAUUUUUAGCUCUUUUUGUAAAGUUGAAAUCAAGCGUUUCCAUGGUAAUGCCAAAUUAUCUGAACCACAUACAUUCAAACUCAUUUGGGAAUUAGUUCUCACCCAGAUACUUCGUGAACGAAUAUUUAGGAUUUAUGUGUCAACGUCUUAACAGUUUGUUUGACUGUAAAAAAAUCAUCCACCCAUUUGGUUCUCUGUGAAACAUAA